RNAcentral lists this ribosomal RNA (262 nucleotides) under uncultured bacterium. Its description in RNAcentral is "partial 16S ribosomal RNA". It matches the Rfam family "Bacterial small subunit ribosomal RNA", at positions 524 to 776 of the family's 1533-position model. The record is from RNAcentral.
UACGAAGGUGGCGAAUGGUUGCUCGGAUUCACUGGGCGUAAAGCGGUCUGAUAGGUGGCUUGUUAAGUUUAGAGGUGAAAGCCCCGCGCUCAAACGGUGGGAACUGCCUUUAAAACUGGCGAGCUUGAGAAGUAUCAGAGGAAGGCGGAAUUGACUGGUGUAGAGGUAAAAUUCAUAGAUAAUCAGUAGGAACAUCCAUGGCGAAGGCAGCUUUCUGGGAUACAUCUGACACUGAGAGACGACAGUGUGGGGAGCAAACAGG